This 31-nucleotide non-coding RNA is filed under the name Macaca fascicularis (crab-eating macaque). The record is from RNAcentral. RNAcentral also lists the same sequence under 1 other name. Lineage: Eukaryota; Metazoa; Chordata; Mammalia; Primates; Cercopithecidae.
UCCAUUGACAUUUCUGUGGGUUCCCGCCUGU